This is a non-coding RNA of Paramuricea clavata, 94 nucleotides long. The record is from the annotation of a GenBank genome assembly. Lineage: Eukaryota; Metazoa; Cnidaria; Anthozoa; Malacalcyonacea; Plexauridae.
GUCUGUUGAUUGCGUUCUGGUGUUCUGUUAGUCUUGUCUUGUCUUUUCAGACAAGACUAACAGAACACCAGAACGCAAUCAACAGACACGACAC